AAAUUGAAGAGUUUGAUCAUGGCUCAGAUUGAACGCUGGCGGCAGGCCUAACACAUGCAAGUCGAACGGUAACAGGAAGCAGCUUGCUGCUUCGCUGACGAGUGGCGGACGGGUGAGUAAUGUCUGGGAAACUGCCUGAUGGAGGGGGAUAACUACUGGAAACGGUGGCUAAUACCGCAUAACGUCGCAAGACCAAAGAGGGGGACCUUCGGGCCUCUUGCCAUCAGAUGUGCCCAGAUGGGAUUAGCUAGUUGGUGAGGUAACGGCUCACCAAGGCGACGAUCCCUAGCUGGUCUGAGAGGAUGACCAGCCACACUGGAACUGAGACACGGUCCAGACUCCUACGGGAGGCAGCAGUGGGGAAUAUUGCACAAUGGGCGCAAGCCUGAUGCAGCCAUGCCGCGUGUAUGAAGAAGGCCUUCGGGUUGUAAAGUACUUUCAGCGGGGAGGAAGGUGUUGUGGUUAAUAACCGCAGCAAUUGACGUUACCCGCAGAAGAAGCACCGGCUAACUCCGUGCCAGCAGCCGCGGUAAUACGGAGGGUGCAAGCGUUAAUCGGAAUUACUGGGCGUAAAGCGCACGCAGGCGGUCUGUCAAGUCGGAUGUGAAAUCCCCGGGCUCAACCUGGGAACUGCAUUCGAAACUGGCAGGCUUGAGUCUUGUAGAGGGGGGUAGAAUUCCAGGUGUAGCGGUGAAAUGCGUAGAGAUCUGGAGGAAUACCGGUGGCGAAGGCGGCCCCCGACAAAGACUGACGCUCAGGUGCGAAAGCGUGGGGAGCAAACAGGAUUAGAUACCCCGGUAGUCCACGCCGUAAACGAUGUCUACUUGGAGGUUGUGCCCUUGAGGCGUGGCUUCCGGAGCUAACGCGUUAAGUAGACCGCCUGGGGAGUACGGCCGCAAGGUUAAAACUCAAAUGAAUUGACGGGGGCCCGCACAAGCGGUGGAGCAUGUGGUUUAAUUCGAUGCAACGCGAAGAACCUUACCUGGUCUUGACAUCCACAGAACUUUCCAGAGAUGGAUUGGUGCCUUCGGGAACUGUGAGACAGGUGCUGCAUGGCUGUCGUCAGCUCGUGUUGUGAAAUGUUGGGUUAAGUCCCGCAACGAGCGCAACCCUUAUCCUUUGUUGCCAGCGAUUAGGUCGGGAACUCAAAGGAGACUGCCAGUGAUAAACUGGAGGAAGGUGGGGAUGACGUCAAGUCAUCAUGGCCCUUACGACCAGGGCUACACACGUGCUACAAUGGCGCAUACAAAGAGAAGCGACCUCGCGAGAGCAAGCGGACCUCAUAAAGUGCGUCGUAGUCCGGAUUGAGUCUGCAACUCGACUCCAUGAAGUCGGAAUCGCUAGUAAUCGUGGAUCAGAAUGCCACGGUGAAUACGUUCCCGGGCCUUGUACACACCGCCCGUCACACCAUGGGAGUGGGUUGCAAAAGAAGUAGGUAGCUUAACCUUCGGGAGGGCGCUUACCACUUUGUGAUUCAUGACUGGGGUGAAGUCGUAACAAGGUAACCGUAGGGGAACCUGCGGUUGGAUCACCUCCUUA
RNAcentral lists this ribosomal RNA (1539 nucleotides) under Salmonella enterica. RNAcentral describes it as "bacterial SSU rRNA". It matches the Rfam family "Bacterial small subunit ribosomal RNA". Lineage: Bacteria; Pseudomonadati; Pseudomonadota; Gammaproteobacteria; Enterobacterales; Enterobacteriaceae. The record is from RNAcentral.